RNAcentral lists this ribosomal RNA (497 nucleotides) under uncultured bacterium. Its description in RNAcentral is "partial 16S ribosomal RNA". It matches the Rfam family "Bacterial small subunit ribosomal RNA", at positions 36 to 507 of the family's 1533-position model. The record is from RNAcentral.
UCCUCCCUCUGGCGGCGUGCCUAAUACAUGCAAGUAGAACGCUGAAGGAAGGAGCUUGCUCUUUCUGGAUGAGUUGCGAACGGGUGAGUAACGCGUAGGUAACCUGCCUGGUAGCGGGGGAUAACUAUUGGAAACGAUAGCUAAUACCGCAUAAAAUUGAUUAUUGCAUGAUCGUCAAUUAAAAGGUGCAACUGCACCGCUACCAGAUGGACCUGCGUUGUAUUAGCUAGUUGGUGGGGUAACGGCUCACCAAGGCGACGAUACAUAGCCGACCUGAGAGGGUGAUCGGCCACACUGGGACUGAGACACGGCCCAGACUCCUACGGGAGGCAGCAGUAGGGAAUCUUCGGCAAUGGACGGAAGUCUGACCGAGCAACGCCGCGUGAGUGAAGAAGGUUUUCGGAUCGUAAAGCUCGGUUGUAAGAGAAGAACGAGUGUGAGAGUGGAAAGUUCACACUGUGACGGUAUCUUACCAGAAAGGGACGGCUAACUACGUG